AUGGGUAGGGGAGCGUUCUCAUCGGGCUGAAGCAGUACCGUAAGGAGUUGUGGACUGAUGAGAAGUGAGAAUGUCGGUAUGAGUAGCGAAAAGAAUGGUGAGAAUCCAUUCCACCGAAAGCCUAAGGGUUCCUGAGCAACGAUCGUCGUCUCAGGGUAAGUCGGGACCUAAUCCGAGGCAGAGAGCGUAGGAGAUGGACAACUGGUUGAUAUUCCAGUACCGGUAGUAAUUGUUUGAGCAAUGGAGUGACACAGAAGGGCAGGCAAGCAUGCGAAUGGAAGAGCAUGUGUAAGCGUGUAGGGUGGUGCAUAGGCAAAUCCGUGCACUGAAAGCCUGAGGCGUGAUGCGGAGUGAGCAGAGAUGCGAGCGAAGUUGUUGACCCCACACUGUCGAGAAAAGCUUCUAGUGAGAGAGCUACCGCCCGUACCGUAAACCGACACAGGUAUGCGGGGAGAGAAUCCUAAGGUGCGCGGGAGAACCCUCGUUAAGGAACUCGGCAAAAUGUACCCGUAACUUCGGGAUAAGGGUAGCCACUGUUGUGAAGUCCCAUGCGGAUGGAGCAUAGAGUGGUCGCAGAGAAGAGGCCCAAGCGACUGUUUACCAUAAACACAGGUGCCUGCUAAAGCGAAAGCUGACGUAUAGGUGCUGACACCUGCCCAGUGCCGGAAGGUUAAGGAAGGAUGUUCGGAUUAGUCCAAAGCAUUCGACUGAAGCCCCGGUGAACGGCGGCCGUAACUAUAACGGUCCUAAGGUAGCGAAAUUCCUUGUCGGGUAAGUUCCGACCCGCACGAAAGGUGUAACGAUUUGGGCACUGUCUCAACGAGGGACCCGGUGAAAUUGAAAUACCUGUGAAGAUGCAGGUUACCCGCGACUGGACAGAAAGACCCCAUGGAGCUUUACUGUAACCUGACAUUGGGUUUUGAUACAUUACGUACAGGAUAGGUGGGAGGCUUGGAAAGCUGGACGCUAGUCUGGCUGGAGCCGACGUUGGGAUACCACCCUUGAUGUAUUGAAAUUCUAACCGCGAGAGUAACGAAAUCCGGGACAGUGUCAGGCGGGCAGUUUGACUGGGGCGGUCGCCUCCGAAAGAGUAACGGAGGCGCCCAAAGGUUCCCUCAGCGCGGCCGGAAAUCGCGCGAAGAGUGUAAAGGCAGAAGGGAGCUUGACUGCGAGUCAAACACGACGAGCAGGUACGAAAGUAGGGCUUAGUGAUCCGGUGGUACCGAGUGGAAGGGCCAUCGCUCAACGGAUAAAAGCUACCCUGGGGAUAACAGGCUAAUCUCUCCCAAGAGUCCAUAUCGACGGGGAGGUUUGGCACCUCGAUGUCGGCUCAUCACAUCCUGGGGCUGAAGUAGGUCCCAAGGGUAUGGCUGUUCGCCAUUUAAAGAGGUACGUGAGCUGGGUUUAAA
Molecule: ribosomal RNA, 1409 nt
Filed under: human gut metagenome
Description: bacterial LSU rRNA
Rfam family: Bacterial large subunit ribosomal RNA
Source: RNAcentral